Molecule: non-coding RNA, 420 nt
Organism: Paramuricea clavata
Lineage: Eukaryota; Metazoa; Cnidaria; Anthozoa; Malacalcyonacea; Plexauridae
Source: the annotation of a GenBank genome assembly
AAAAAUACUAAAACAAUUAUUAUCCCCGACAAUCACCUCGCCUUCGGCGAAUGAUUGUUAAAUAUCAACACGAGUGGAAAUUGGGAAAACGAGAAAUUGUGUGGAAACAUGACGCCCGAAGGGUGAAGUGUUUUCAAGCAAUUUCGAGUUUUCCCAAUUUCCACGAGUGCUGAGAUAACUGUAUAUCAAUACGGAAAAAGUUUUAUAUUUGUUUUAUAAUAUAGCACAAAGAAACAUAAGGAAAGAAAUUUUCCGACGUUUCCGUGUUGACAUUGAGUUAUAUCAACACGGAUCUUAGCCAAUCAGCGUUCAGAAUCUGCAAAUGCUAUAUUAUAAUAUAUAAUAUCACCCGCGUCGCGCGUGGAGACCACGCUUAGCAUAGCUAUGAAAAAAUAUGGUGUCCUCGAGGUUUUGUUUGGG